AGAGGAGGAACGCCAGGGUCAAUAGGGUCACGUUUAAUGAAGGAUUAAACAUUCUUGUUCUGGGUUCUUGACCUUUGCUGCAUAUAGCAGCUUAGCGCUUCUGUUCUUUAUUUGCCUGCUUGGAAAGCUUACUAUACCUAGAUCUAUCCAGUGCAGCAAGCCAGUACAUCAAAAUUUAUACCCUAGCCACGGAAGGCUAAUUUCCAUAUCUUGUGGGUUUGAAGAAUGCAAUAAAAGGUCAAAGGUUGCAAUUAAAUCCUGGAUCUCCUCUCUCAAGCUGAUUCAUCUGGGGCGCGAUAGCUCAACCGAUUUCUGUUGUGAGAAUCAAUCUAUUGAUAGUGUAUAAACUCAAGGGCGCGAAGUUCCCCCGUCCCCUCCACAGGGUGGUGGAUAUGUCCAGUACCUCACUAACACUAGCCUGGGAGGAGCCGGUAUCCACUGGUGGUAGGGGUAGGGAUGACAACCUCUGGAUCAGAGCUGCUGGGGAGACAAGCAUCUAAUACUGUCACCACCACUGUGGGAGUGAUUGAGGGACUAUCUCCAGAUUGAGCUCAAGGAAGUGCAGAUGGUGCAACCAAAUGCCUCCUAUGGACAAGCCACUGAAUUGCAACCUAAUCCCUGCUACGGACAAGCUACUCAACCGAAUGAUUCAAAUUCGGACGGAGAAUAAUUAUAAAUCAAUUAGAGACUACGAAGUUGUUUAUGACAUUAUUGUUUGAGUUUCUUUGUACUGUAUAAUUUUAUAACUGUAAUUAUUUUGGCCCCUUAAAUUAUGUGCAUCCUCAUCAUGGCUUUUAUAAAGCUGUCAUGUAUUAUAAAUUUUCUUGCAUGCUCUC
Halichondria panicea is the source of this 836-nucleotide long non-coding RNA. RefSeq lists it as uncharacterized. Lineage: Eukaryota; Metazoa; Porifera; Demospongiae; Suberitida; Halichondriidae. The transcript has 3 exons. The record is from RefSeq and is a predicted model, not a curated record.